This 253-nucleotide ribosomal RNA is filed under the name uncultured bacterium. RNAcentral describes it as "partial 16S ribosomal RNA". It matches the Rfam family "Bacterial small subunit ribosomal RNA", at positions 524 to 776 of the family's 1533-position model. The record is from RNAcentral.
UACGUAGGGCGCAAGCGUUGUCCGGAAUUAUUGGGCGUAAAGAGCUCGUAGGCGGUCUGUCGCGUCCGUUGUGAAAACUCGAGGCUCAACCUCGGGCUUGCAGUGGAUACGGGCAGACUAGAGUGCGGUAGGGGAGACUGGAAUUCCUGGUGUAGCGGUGGAAUGCGCAGAUAUCAGGAGGAACACCGGUGGCGAAGGCGGUUCUCUGGGCAUUACCUGACGCUGAGGAGCGAAAGUGUGGGGAGCGAACAGG